This 56-nucleotide microRNA precursor is filed under the name Ciona intestinalis (vase tunicate). Its description in RNAcentral is "microRNA cin-mir-4195 precursor". Lineage: Eukaryota; Metazoa; Chordata; Ascidiacea; Phlebobranchia; Cionidae. The record is from miRBase by way of RNAcentral.
GUCACUUAUUAUCUGUAUAUACAAUAGCCUAGCUUAUACAUGUAAUACAUUGGCUU